GUGCUCACUUCGGCAGCAUAUAUACUAAAAUUGAAACGAUAGAGAACAUUAGCAUGGCCCCUGCACAAGGAUGACACACAAAUUUGUGAAGCAUUCCAUAUUUCU
Molecule: small nuclear RNA, 105 nt
Organism: Dama dama (fallow deer)
Lineage: Eukaryota; Metazoa; Chordata; Mammalia; Artiodactyla; Cervidae
Source: RefSeq, a predicted model, not a curated record